Triticum aestivum (bread wheat) is the source of this 3239-nucleotide RNA transcript. It is a transcript of the gene named probable trehalose-phosphate phosphatase 2, with no coding region annotated. The transcript has 6 exons. The record is from RefSeq and is a predicted model, not a curated record. NCBI's taxonomy places the organism in Eukaryota, Viridiplantae, Streptophyta, Magnoliopsida, Poales, Poaceae.
UCUCCUCAAACGAAAAAAAAUCUAUGAGAAAAAACCAACGAAAAAAAAAUCCACCACAUGAGCGAGCGAGAACCUUCGUCUUCUUCUCGCCCCAAACCCUAGAGGUCUGACGGGCACCGAUCUAGUCGAGCCUCCACCGCGGAUGGCCACCCGCCGGUAAGGCCCCCAUCUGUCCCCCCUUGAUCCCCUCUACCCGCUCGUCCGGUGUGUGCCACCGGCGCCUCCGCCGGCGCUUGCGUCCUGGGGUUCGUCCCCUAUCCCUCAGCCUUUGUCUCCCGGCGCGGGCGGCGUCGCCAAGUCAUGUGUGCCUUUCUGGGAGCCUUGACGGGCUGCUGAUUAGAGGACACCAACCUGGCCUCAGAGGAGGCCAUCCGCACCAAGUUCCUGUAGGUGCUGGUCGCCUGAGUGCACGGCCAGGCCGCCGCCACCGUCUCCUGCUACGAGUCUCUCUCGUUGCGAGCUGCAGAGCCCGUUCCCCUGCAAGGUUGCAACAACCUAAGUUUCUAUUUUCUAUCUGGGCUCCACAGGCAGUAGUAGGAUGCUCAUAGGCAACCCAAGGUGUGUAUGCCCCUACUUCCCCAAGGUACUCAAGCCCCAUGCCUGGGGCGACCACGAGAUGUGUGCUGCUGUGAGGCAUGUAGCACCACUUCUCCAGACUGCUAUAAUCAGUGGAAGAUCUCAUGACAUGAUAGGCGUCAUGGUCUCAUGGAAUGGACAUCACGGGGCUUAUUAGGAACUCUGAGUUCAGCGGGCACCAUGCCGAAAGAGCUCAAUCUCUUCCAAUACACAACUGCUGAGGUAUGUAUCAAUGUCUAAAGGUUAAAAAGACCCAGGUUACACCAUAUGGUUUAGGUUGCUCAUCUUGGUUGAGUAGAGACUAGGUGUUCAAAAAUCUUAGUGAGAGUAUAAAGGACAUUGUUGAUGGUGCAAGAAUGGAACACAACAAGUUUUGUGUGUGUGUCUCUGUGUGUGUGCGCGCGCGCGCAUUACCGAAACGUCGCAUGACCUGACUACGAAAAAGUUCAUCUGUGUGUAACUGCCGGGUUCUCGAUGUCCGCCCUCUCAUUGAUAGGGUGAAAGUUGUGGAAUUUUUGCUUUAACUGCCUGGACUAAGAUGAUAGGACAUACAAAGAUGCAUUCAAGGUAAGCCAUGCCUCUGGUAUGCUUGCUUAACAUGUGAAACCCAUAAGACAAUUCUUACGAGUUGCGGCCUGCACUGUGGUGUCUCCGUUCAUCAAGUUCUGAGCACCAGCUCUAGUGAAAUUAAGCGUUCGUCCAGCUAUACUCCUAGGUGGCUUUCUUUGGUCCGCUUCUUAUUGUGUAGUUAGUGGUUAUGCACAAGCCUCAUCAUCUGAUAUUUCUAUAGUAGUUAUUGAAAACAAUUUGAGGACAAAGCUUUGAUUGUUGUUGUAGUUGAAGAUUCAGAGUUGCAAGGCAGGCAUAGUUAAUAGGGAUAAGAAACUAUAGAAGAUUUAUCAAACCAGAUAUGGGCUUGGUUAUGCACUGAAUCAUUGUGGAGGAUCUCAGUUAAUUAGGCCAUACACCCAAAAUUAAAUUUUACUUGGUUUUAAAUGUUUAGGGGGCAAAUGAUGUUUCAUAUGCUAGACUGAGGUACGCACCUUUUAAGAGUAUCAAUGAUACUCCAGUCACCCAUAAAAAUGGAAGUACUGAAAAUUAGUUUGUAAGGAAAAAACUAAAUAGUGAGUCCGAGCAAACCUACUGCCUAGAUUACAUGAGAUCAUUUUAGCUCUAAGAGUUUCUUUUAUCUCUUUUACAUUCUGGUAAACAUGUGGGUGAAUAACUGUUAGAAAUUGUUCUAUAUGUACACGUGCAUUCUACUAGAACUGAUGCUUGAAAGAAUAAAAAGUUUAGUUAUAUUUGUAAGCCAAGCACUGGAAAAGCUCACUCCUCAUAGUAGAUCACCAUCGUCUACGUAGCUGCUUUGUCGAAACAGAGUCCACAGGUUUACUCAUGUCCUCUGUUUUUUGUUGUUUGAGGGAAGGUUUGUUAGGAGCCCAUCUCUUCUGCAGCAAGCCCUGGAGAAAGAGACCUAGAUAUAGUGGUACUUGCUAGCUUUUUAAUGGACACUUCCUUUUAGGCUUUUUUAGUUUCUCUAUUUCUCUAAGAGACUUCAAUGAGUGAGAAUUUUUUGUUCCCUCCCUUUUUCAUUGUCUUUUGGAGUUUUGCUUUGUGGUGAGAGGAGGAUAGAGAUACCCAAUUGCCGUGGGGAUCAGAGAUUAGGUGAGGUCACAUAGUUUGUCUCGGCUUUACAAUGUGAGGUAAAGGAAGAAAAUAAAGUGAUGUUAGAAUAUUACAAUGAUAUAUCUAGACAUAUCUCUACUCCUAAUGGAGCAGUUGGUAGUCUCCGUUUCGUUUUUUUUCCGUCCCACCUCCCACCUUCGUCUGGUUUUUUCUGGUUACUAUGCAGUACAAGUGAAUUUUCUUCACACAUAAGCCAUGGAAUAUUUGAGCCUGACAUGCUCACCUUCUCGGGAUGCUACUUUGGGGGUGGCAAAUCGAGUUAAUUGAACUAGGUGAAAUAUGUAAGAGCUGGAAAACACUGAUGUAAGUGAUCAAUACUCAUUCAGGUUUUGACAGUUACACCAUUACAGUUAAACUUGUGAGCAGGAAAGUUACACUGAUAGAGAACGCCGGCAUUGUAAAUACCCUCUUAACAAUUGAAGAAGUAGGUUCAUGAUCUGGGCAUUGGGGUCAGGACGCCCAUAUCUUGGGCUGGAAGAUGUAUAUGGAGCAUUAGAGACAUUAGCACCUGGGAUAGACAUUAGCUCCGAGGCGAUUGUUUAGUUCUAGCUAAGACAUUAUACAUACAUAUGUUACAUUCAGAUAAAGAUUUUACUUUUCCCAGGGUUAGAAUUAUGAAACCUUUAGUCUUGGGAUCAAAAUAGAUAUUGCCUUAAUAUCUAAGCCAUUUACGGACAUGACCGUGAAUAUGUUUAGUGUAACAUGUAUAACAUAAUAAAGUUGGAGAAGAUUAAGGAAUGCAGAAUUUUAGUUAAUCAUGUGGGCCUAGGGUUUUCUAACAGAGAGCAAAGUCACGGAAUCCAUCAGCUAAAGUUUGGCUUCGAUCCAAACACACCAUCAGACUUUCAGGCCCUGGGCUCGGUAAAUCGAGAACGAGAGACGCCUUCAACUUUCCAGCCAUGGACUCACUAUCGAGAGAGAGGAAGAGAGCAGUCAGGGGGUGGCGGCAGCUUAGGAGCAUGAGCGCGGCGGCGGCC